CGGGGGCCCGCACAUGCGGUGGAGCAUGUGGUUUAAUUCGAAGCAACGCGAAGAACCUUACCAGGUCUUGACAUCCUCUGACAAUCCUAGAGAUAGGACGUCCCCUUCGGGGGCAGAGUGACAGGUGGUGCAUGGUUGUCGUCAGCUCGUGUCGUGAGAUGUUGGGUUAAGUCCCGCAACGAGCGCAACCCUUGAUCUUAGUUGCCAGCAUUCAGUUGGGCACUCUAAGGUGACUGCCGGUGACAAACCGGAGGAAGGUGGGGAUGACGUCAAAUCAUCAUGCCCCUUAUGACCUGGGCUACACACGUGCUACAAUGGACAGAACAAAGGGCAGCGAAACCGCGAGGUUAAGCCAAUCCCACAAAUCUGUUCUCAGUUCGGAUCGCAGUCUGCAACUCGACUGCGUGAAGCUGGAAUCGCUAGUAAUCGCGGAUCAGCAUGCCGCGGUGAAUACGUUCCCGGGCCUUGUACACACCGCCCGUCACACCACGAGAGUUUGUAACACCCGAAGUCGGUGAGGUAACCUUUUA
This 530-nucleotide ribosomal RNA is filed under the name Bacillus subtilis. RNAcentral describes it as "bacterial SSU rRNA". It matches the Rfam family "Bacterial small subunit ribosomal RNA", at positions 914 to 1444 of the family's 1533-position model. Lineage: Bacteria; Bacillati; Bacillota; Bacilli; Caryophanales; Bacillaceae. The record is from RNAcentral.